This 797-nucleotide ribosomal RNA is filed under the name uncultured Glomeromycotina. RNAcentral's name for it is "SSU rRNA". It matches the Rfam family "Eukaryotic small subunit ribosomal RNA", at positions 314 to 1114 of the family's 1831-position model. Lineage: Eukaryota; Fungi; Glomeromycota. The record is from RNAcentral.
AUCAACUUUCGAUGGUAGGAUAGAGGCCUACCAUGGUGGUAACGGGUAACGGGGUGUUAGGGCACGACACCGGAGAGGGAGCCUGAGAAACGGCUACCACAUCCAAGGAUGGCAGCAGGCGCGCAAAUUACCCAAUCCCGACACGGGGAGGUAGUGACAAUAAAUAACAAUACGGGGUCCUUUGGGUCUCGUAAUUGGAAUGAGUACAAUUUAAAUCUCUUAACGAGGAACAAUUGGAGGGCAAGUCUGGUGCCAGCAGCCGCGGUAAUUCCAGCUCCAAUAGCGUAUAUUAAAGUUGUUGCAGUUAAAAAGCUCGUAGUUGAAUUUCGGGGUCGGUAGGUUGGUCAUGCCAUCGGUAUGCACUGGUCUCACCGAUUCCUCCCUCUUGUAGAAGCGUAAUGCCAUUAAGUUGGUGUUGCGGGGAAACAGGACUGUUACUUUGAAAAAAUUAGGGUGUUUAAAGCAGGCUAACGCUUGAAUACAUUAGCAUGGAAUAAUGAAAUAGGACGUCGAUCCUAUUUUGUUGGUUUCUAGGAUUGACGUAAUGAUUAAUAGGGAUAGUUGGGGGCAUUAGUAUUCAAUUGUCAGAGGUGAAAUUCUUGGAUUUAUUGAAGACUAACUACUGCGAAAGCAUUUGCCAAGGAUGUUUUCAUUAAUCAAGAACGAAAGUUAGGGGAUCGAAGACGAUCAGAUACCGUCGUAGUCUUAACCAUAAACUAUGCCGACUAGGGAUCGGAUGAUGUUAAUUUUUUAAUGACUCAUUCGGCGCCUUACGGGAAACCAAAGUGUUUGGGUUC